GUUCCCUACGGGAGGCAGCAGUGGGGAAUAUUGGGCAAUGGGCGCAAGCCUGACCCAGCAACGCCGCGUGAAGGAAGAAGGCUUUCGGGUUGUAAACUUCUUUUCUCAGGGACGAAGAAAGUGACGGUACCUGAGGAAUAAGCCACGGCUAACUACGUGCCAGCAGCCGCGGUAAUACGUAGGUGGCAAGCGUUGUCCGGAUUUACUGGGUGUAAAGGGCGUGUAGCCGGGCUGACAAGUCAGAUGUGAAAUUCCGGGGCUCAACCCCGGACCUGCAUUUGAAACUGUUGGUCUUGAGUAUCGGG
This 305-nucleotide ribosomal RNA is filed under the name uncultured bacterium. Its description in RNAcentral is "bacterial SSU rRNA". It matches the Rfam family "Bacterial small subunit ribosomal RNA", at positions 334 to 653 of the family's 1533-position model. The record is from RNAcentral.